UAAGACGAACCACACAAACGUUAUUCGGAAUUACUGGGCUUAAAGGGUGCGUAGGCUGUGCAGAAAGUUAGGUGUGAAAUCCCCCGGCUCAACCGGGGAAUUGCGCUUAAAACUACUGUGCUAGAGGAAGACAGAGGUGAGCGGAACUUCGGGUGGAGCGGUGAAAUGCGUUGAUAUCCGAAGGAACACCGGUGGCGAAAGCGGCUCACUGGGUCUUUUCUGACGCUGAUGCACGAAAGCUAGGGGAGCAAACGGGAUUAGAUACCCCGGUAGUCCUAGCCGUAAACGAUGAGCACUGGGUUGAAGGGCCCUCCAUAGCCUUUCAGCCGCAGCAAAAGUGUUAAGUGCUCCGCCUGGGGAGUAUGGUCGCAAGGCUG
RNAcentral lists this ribosomal RNA (377 nucleotides) under uncultured bacterium. RNAcentral describes it as "bacterial SSU rRNA". It matches the Rfam family "Bacterial small subunit ribosomal RNA", at positions 521 to 896 of the family's 1533-position model. The record is from RNAcentral.